UAACACUGGACAUCAGACACAGCCAGCAAAUCGCCUUUGCCAAGGUUAAACACAUCACCGACGGGUCUUGAGAUGUCACUCAUCAAACACGACUUAUAGAAUCACCAGGUUGGAAAAGACCUCUUGGAUCAUCCAACCAUUCCUACCCGCCACCAAACCACGCUCCCGAGCUCCGACACAGCGUGUUUUUCCCCUGAUUCCUAACGCUUAUUUCCUUUCCUCCGCGCGUUAAAAAACAGCUGAAAAAAAUAAAAGUUUCGAUUUUGCUUUCAGUUGGUUUCACUUUCCGGCCGCCUGGAAGCCACUAAAAAGUUUCUGUUUGGGUUAAAACUGAUCAACGCUCAGGAGAGGGGGUACGGGCAGGAACGAACGGAACUUCCCAGAAGGACCCAUGGAGAGAGAAAUUCCUUGCAGUAUCAUACCAGAUAUACGUUCAAGUGCUAGCAAUGAGCAUUUAUGAAAAUGAUAUUAUAGCUAAACACAGCAGAGGAGAGAUGAAGAGAUAAGUCCAUCAGGGGAAUAUUUUGUGGAGUGCCCUCUUAAGAUAGUCACUUGAAUGGAUAGCAACACCCCUCUUCUAUGGCUGUGUUUUCUUCAGUCAAACAAAGCUACUGUCUCCAGAGAACUGUGAAGAACUGAUGUUACAACAGUCAUUAUUUCAUAUUUGCAUUAAGUUGGAUUUAGUCAGCAAAAUAAGAAGUAAUGUAGCACUGGGAUCAGAAUUGGGCCACUCACACUAAUUCACUAAUUUUAAAAUUGGUGCCGCUUGAUCCAGUUCUCCAACUCUCUCCAUCCUUGCAGGUAAUGGAAAAAACCUCCAAUUCUAAAGUUAAAAUAACGUGGCUUAAGUUGGAGGGUUCAGCAAGUCUACAGGCAGCACCUCACUCCACAGUGAGUGACCUGCCUUUGCACCUGUAGUACCUAUGCCAGAACAGAAAAUGAUUACUACUCUCAGUAGUGGAACCAAUUUGCUGUUGUCACAUGGAGCAUCCCGAGCCUGUAAAGGCAGUGGUUGCCAAAUGCUAAUCAUCAGACUCACAGUCAAACAUUAUAAAGUCUUAUGGAUCACCAACAGGCAGGUUUAUCAUCCAGACUUCAUCUGAAAACGCUACUGGGAACAUUUACCACAGUUUCACAGACCGUGGAGAUAGCAAAUAUGGACCGAGAGCCAUGAGGUCGGCAGCACCACUCUCUUCUACCAGACAAGUACCAUAGAUUCUGAGGUGCUUUUCUGGAAAUCUACCUAAGUGAGUGGCUACAAAAAAAACAUUCAAGAUCUGAUUUAUUUGGAAAGGAUGGCUUGAGCCACUCCCUCAGAGCACUGGAAGAAGAAGAGUGCUGUAUUUGGGUUAUCCUGCAGGGAAACAAGAGACACAGGUGUCUUCAUCUUCUGUCUGGGGAAAACUUACCUCAAGACACUGUUACUGUGUUUUAAGGAGGGACAACUGUGUGGUUUGCUCAGGAGUCUUUGUGAAGGCUUUAAAUAAUAUUGAUUAUUAACUAAAGGUGGCCACCAGGAAAACGGUGAGCAGCAGCUUCUAAAAGGAGGAAACAGCAAGAGAUACUAUUAGGUUGUCUGGCAAGACCUCUGUAGGUAGAAAGAGAGAAAUAAAGUUGGAGUAGAGAUGCAGAGGAGUUACUUGAAGGGGAAGGAUCUCUGGGACGUCCUAGCAACUUUACUCACAACUUGAAAGCAUUUUAGGGGAAAAGAAUAAUGCCACAUAGCCAAUACCAACAGAUGAGACAAGGUACAGGUGUUUCUCUGCACCCUUUUCUCUAAAGGAGGGAAGAGAAAAAAGCUUCAAACUCUUGGGCAAUUAUUCAGGGUCACAGUAAAUGGCAGAGAAAAAAUGACUGGAAAGCAAUAAUGGAGAAACAGCCUGGAGUAUGGAGUGAUGGAGAAGCCCAGUGAAAGAAAAAGCAGGUUUAGAGCACAAAAGGAGACAGAAGACACAGGUGAGAAAACAUGAGAGGAUGGAGAAGGCAGGAAAAGGAGCUUAAGAGUUGGUUAUUUGUUUUCAAAGAGAAAGAAGAGAAGAAAGAAUGAGAGCUGAAAUGGUAGCAGUGAAGAAAGAGGCUAAAAUGCGGAAGAAAAAGGAAUCUUGCAAGAAAAGGAAGGGUUAAAGAAAUGCUCUUGAAGAUCAAAGAAAAAUGGGAGAGGGAAAAAGAAAGUUGCAGAAGGAAGAGUUAAUAAGUAAAAGAGGGUAAAGAAGAAUAGGAGAAAAAAGUAAAGGGAAAUAAGUUUUUAUGCUCUAGAAAGCUUGAUUCUGACCUAUUUUUAUGUAUGAUAUCUUUAAUAUUUACUGGACAGAUAGUACUAGGAAAACAUUGGAGGGAUUGGGGAAAGCAAUCUGCCUGACCCUAGAAGACAGUUGUUCUUGGCAAUGGGAAAGGGAGAUGGUGGCUCUAAAUUGGCACUCUAAAUUGGCAAAUAAGCCUCUCUGACCUAUGCAAAAUUCUGUAGAGCCUUUUUUUCUAGGCCCUUUCUGCGCAUACAGAGGCCAAGUUUCAGUUUUUAAGGAACAAAACCAUUCUUAAACUCCACCUAGAAACCUGGUGAAGUCAAAUCACUGCCUGGGCUAUACAUCCUUACUUACAGAAGUGAUAUGAAGUUGGUAGGCUUACCCAGAUGGCUUGUACUGGCCACAGAAAAGGAAAAAGAAGGGGGAAAUGAUAGAAGAGUAGAAUAAUUUAAAUGGAGAAGGAUCUCUGCACACCUCCAAACCACAACCGCUUCUCCACCCACAAACACAAUGGUGAUGCUCUGCUGGACUCACUCCAUUAUAUCAGUUUCUUUCUUUGGCUGUGGAGGCUGAAAUUGCAACUGCAAAGGCUUUUGGGCUUAUGUGCAUAAGAUCAAAAAAAACCCUGAAGGUUGUGCAGACAGUACAAAUGCUUAAAAAUCUCCAUAGCUACAUUGUUAUCAAACUUUCAAAAUCUAGGCAUUUCCAUUUUAGCAUAACUGUGUUCAGUGUUGUAACUCUGAUCCAAGAAAAACACUCUUCUAAUAGUCUAAAAGCAUGCAGUUUAAAAUGAUGCCCACUUAAGAAGUCAUUUCAGUCAUUUGAUGUUUAACUGCUUCCUUUUUCCCAGGUUCAAGAGGGCUGUUUGGAGGGAAAGGAAGUUUUGCCUUAUCACAUGGCUGGUAUUGUGGCGAUUGAAAAUAGCAAGGUACAACAGCCAAAUUUAGCAUUAGCUUGUAUUAAAAGACUCUGCUGAUUAUCUACAUUUUUACUAAGAAAUAAUACAGUUUAAUGUCAUCUCUUUAUGAUUCAGCCACUUCUGAUCAAACCAAACCCUCUUACUUGAGGCAAAAGAAAGGUCUAUUAAACACAGACACCAGAUGGCUCAGGAUAUUUCUCUUUUCUGAGGGUAAUGUUAAGGCGUGGAGAUAAAACUUGGUUCAGAGGCUGCCCUGAGGCCAUUGGGGUUAUAUUUUUUUUUAAAAAGCAGCCAAUGACCCUCUUCAGAAUGAAAAAGCUCGAUUCACUGACUCAUCUUUCCAAUAACAGUCACAUCAUCGUUUUAAAAACAAGCAAACCCAGUGACCAAACCCAAAAAAUUUCCUUGAAUGGAGUGUCAGUGAGAGGCUGAGCUCUGAUUUUACCUACUAGCUCUGUAGUGACAGUCAAAUGUGCCUGGUGGGACAUAUAGGAAGGUGGGUAUUGUACGUGAAGUAAAGUAGAACUAAGCACUACCUUAUGGAAUGAGUAACCACAUAUCUUUAAGCAAACGUUGCUCUUAACACAGGGAACUUUUGCACUGUGUUACCUAAUGCAUACCAUUUGCAUUCCAAAUAGCCAUUACAUAAAUGUUUGUCAUCCUUGCUUGUUUUGCUAUGAGCUGUGUAAGCUCUUUAGGGCUGUGCCUUGUGAUACGGACACUGGACUCAUUUAGUCAUGUUCAGUUCCACUUCCGUAUGACAUCCCCCGUGACUUUUGACCAUUACUGAAGUUUCUCUGUACUUCAGCUCACAACUUAUAAAGAGGGAUAGGACGGUAGGAGCCAGAGCUCUUGCUGGCCAAAGAAAAAGCCAUUAACCCUUAUGAGGAUGUUGCAUACACGGGUAAUGAGACUCUAUCCGAAGGAUUUAGGACCAUUAGCUUAAAGAGCUGAUAUAUUGUGUCAGGCCAGACACAGCCGUCUGACUGGAAAUGUCCCUUUCCACCAAGCAGUGAGAAAAGGGGUCUUCAAUUUCUCGCUAUGAAAAUAAUUCCAUGCAUUUAUAAGGCUGUCUCUCUAAAAGUUGUAGAAAUUGCCACUUUCUUUGUCUUCGGUUCAGUUUAACACAUUUCUAAACACUAUAAAAUGCUCACGAUAGAGAUAUUGCAAGGUAGAUGCAGGGGAAGAUAGGUAUGAGGUUGCAUAGUACAGUGUGCCUAAGACAUCCUAUUUAACCAAAGAAAAAGAUCAGAUUUACUACAGGGAGAUCAGUAGAUGAGCUGCUGAGAUGUACAACUAAGGAUGAGCUGCUACAUCACAAGAAAGACUGAAGGCUAUAAUCUGGUCAUGUUAAUAUGAUUUGCUCUUGGCCUUGAAGAAACAGAAUAAUAACCUGUCUUACAGAAAGGAUGUUGUGAAGAUACACUGUUUUAUAGCCACAUUCACUAAUGCAUAUAAAAGAUAAGGUGGUAUCUCACACCAUCAGUGUAGCAGAAAUCAAUGAGCUCACAUUUCUUCACUGUGAUAUCUGCUAGCACCAAAACACAGGACACAAAUUGUUACCUCUUUCUUCUUAGUUGACAUCAGUGUGGCUUUUUUCCCAGCUGUGUUCCUUGAGGAGCAGAGCAAUGAGGGUAUUGAGGUCUUUGUCAUCAUUUUUCUUUUCUUACAGAUUUUUCUUUGAAUUUGGAGUUCACAAAGUGAGGGACAAGAAACACUGUGGAGAGAGUGAAGGCAUUACUUUUUCAGUCUCAGGGUCUUUCUCAAGAUAUUUUAAGAUCAAGAUAUUUUCAGUACAUGGCAAAAAUAAUUGGAGAUGACGUUUCUCCCUUUUAGAAAUUUCCAAUAGAGGCUGGCUAUCUCUAUAGCGCUUACUUUAGAACUGAGCCAGUUCCACACAGAAGGCAAAUUAAACGAAAAUUUGUCUCUUUCCUCAGUUAUUUUCUAGGCUUCAAGAGAGCUUGUUUGGAACAUAAUGAUUUCUCAGACAGCAUGAACAUUGUUAGUAUUGGCAAGAAGAUAUGGUAUCAUUAUUCCUUGGAGGGAGUUUUUUUUGGCUGUUUGUGUUCCCUUGUGGUGCACCUUCAGUCCCCACCCACACCUGCUGCCGUGUCUGCUCUGAAGGAUGGAAAGAUUGAUUUUAUCUAAUUUUACCACCCACUCUGAAGCUGUUGGUUCAUAACCUCUGCUGAGACUCUUCAUGUCAGGUGUUGUGAAUGGCAAAGCUGCCUAAAAGCCAGCUUCUUCAAUGUUGAAUCCCUUCUAUAUAGAAAAUCCCUUACAGAAAACCAAACAGAUUACCCUCUGAAUUUACUAUACGUACAGUGAUGGCCUAUAUGGUUUAUUAAAUUUUCCUCUUUUUCUGUCCCCACACACAUUUGCACAUGCAUGCACACUCACAUACACACUUACAAUUUAAGGACUAGCAGAACAAUUCAAUGUUAUAAUUCUUACCCCUUCUCUGAGCUGUGAAAUUGUUAACAACACUGACAAAUCAAUAUCCCAGGCAUCUGACUGGGAACCCACUGAAGCUGAAACUCAAAAACUAUAGUUCCAGAUGCUUUGCAAACUCCAACUACUUCUGCAUCAGGCUUCCACAUUUCCUAUUUUGAGGUCAUUCCAAAACUAUGACAUAGUGAGACUUUGCUUUUUAGAAAAGAAAAUAAUACAAGAGCUUUGUGAAAAAAAUAUUCUUUGCUUCAAAUAAAAAAAUCAGAGGCUGGAGAAUGUCUAUAAGUUUUAUCAGGAUCCAGGUCCUGUUCUGUUUCCUUUGAGAAAUAGUUAUCCUGUUUUAUUCCCUAGAGAAAUACUCCAUACUAAGCAAAAAUAACGUUUCAGCCUGGUAGGAGCUGUGUGUGUACAUUUGUGCAGCCUGCAGAGAUUCACAACUACAGCAGCCGUGCUCCCUGUGCCUUGGCUUGUAAGACCCCAGAGUAGGCUGCCUCGGGGUCCCUGCUGCUACCCUACUGGUAGCACCACAAGAAUCCCCUCCCUGUCAGUUGUUGGGAGCUGCCAGACCUAAAUAAUCCUAAAACUGAAAGACAUGGUAACUGAAAAAAGUUCUCAAGAGCUAUAUGAUAUGAGGACUACUCAGGCUUGCCUUUCCCAAGCUGAAAUUGGUCAGUACUAGACAAGUUUGUCGGAAGUGUCACAGGAUGUUUAAAGGGCAAGUAUUAGUCACAGUGGUGCAGAGCAGUGUGGUGAGACUAAUAUGAAGCUUGAUUCAUAACCCAGAUUACCAGAGGAUACUUUUCGAUGAGAAGGUAAAAGGGGCAGCUCUAACAUAAAAGAGUACGCAACAUUUAACAACUGUUCCUCCCCUGCAAAGGAAUUAAUUUGUGGUAUAUGAAACUAAAUUAAGAUGACAGUGCCCAUCAUCAUGUGAAAUAACAUGUGACUCAUUUUUGGCAGUUAUCUCCAUCAUAGACAGUGUCCUCAUACAGAUGUUCUCUGCUUUGUGGGAAUCUUACAGCACGUGAAGCCAGGAAAGAUGAAUAAAAGGCUCUACACCAUGAUUUGCUUUGCAGAGGAAGACUUCAUGCUAAAACUGCCAGCCUGAAUGAGAGAUGAAAUAUAAAAAUGUCUUGUUUUAAAGCUCUAGUGUGAAAAAUGCAGCAGCUUUCACCAGUUCUCCAAUGAAUGGUGACAUUUGACUGGCUUCUCACUGUGAAGGAAAAUGUAACACAACUGUGCUGGCGUCUUAAAGGUCAACUGUUCCUCUCUGACAUUCCCUUCUUUAGUAAGAAAGCUGGCAUCACUGCAUGUGGGAGCAGUUAGGAUCUUCUCGGGGUCUGCCCAUAAACAGCGCUCAGUAUUGUGCCCAGCUGCAUGAGUCCAUUAAUAUGGCCCUCUCAAAUGCCCAUCAUUUUCAUUGAAAGACCAUUUAAAGAUCAAGUACACUUUCAUCCCAUAUAUAACUGCAUGCCCUCUUGUUGUUAGUGUGGAAAUUUCUUUGCAUCAGAAAUAUACUGAAGCUGCAAGAAGAGCUCACAGGACCAUAGAAAUGUUGGUUGCAAAGGGCUCUACUCUGACCUUGCACUUGAAGCAGGAAUAUCAUCAGUGUUGGGUCACAUCAAACAUAGCUUUGUACAGCCACAUCUUGAAAACCUUCAAGGCUGGAGGUGGUACUGUGUCUCUGGGUCCUUAUUCCAGUGUUGCACUACCCUCCCAAGUAAGAAGCUCUUUAUGCCAGAGGUUCAAAGUCUCAUAGGAACAGAAGUUUCCUGUGUUACACAUCUGGAGGCCCACUCAUCUGACUGGUAUGAGUUGGUGUUGUCUUUCAACAGUGUAAAUGACAAACCUGGUAUGAGCUUAGAUGGUGAAUUUAAAACCUGCAAGGAUUUGUAGCAAACAAAUCAGCUGUACAAUGACGUCGUUAAACCAUAGUGAGAACUUCUGUUUGCUUUUCAUUGCAUAAAUAGGUGGGAGUCCUUGAAAGGGAGCAUUGACUGACUCAAGAAGUCACUUCACCCAGCGUGGAAAGCUCAGGGCUGUUCCAGUUUCUGCUGCAGGGGAGAGAGAGGCAUAUAACUCACUGCCUCUUCUUCAGGCCUUUCACUGGGCCACUGUUUCUCUGUAGAACAGAUAGAUGGUUCUUCAAACAGGUAUCCAACUAGGGUCCUGAAUCUAACCUCCUUCAAUGGCUUAAUUAGUUACCAUGUAUCAGCAAAACUAAUGUCAUCAGUAUGCAUGGGUAUAUGUGUGAUCUUGUCGUCUUCAGCUGUGAAGUGAUGUGACCGAGGUGUAGCUGGGGCUGGAUGUCAUUACUUGCCAUGGGGAUGGGCUAGGGGCAUGCUGUGGUCUCACAGCUCUCCUACUGUGCAGUGUUGUGGGGAGAUGCUGGUAGCUAUGCUGGUGGAUUUACAGAAGGGCAUUUCAUUUCUUGUCUGAGAUCAUUGUGAAAUGUUGCUUGCACUCUUAAGUAGCUGAAAGGCAAGAGAGCUGCACUUCAGUAGUAAGUGAAAGCAUCUCUUUGUGCAGCUAAUCUUGCAAAGCACUGUUAAGUUUGUCACGAUUCAUAACCACUGCCUAAUACAGACCCAUCACUUGGCAUGGUCCUUAGGUAUUUAAAUUCAAAAAUUUCUAUUAAUACUUCACCUGGUCUGGGGGAAAAAAAAACAAACAAGGAAAUUGCAAUAAGAAAUCUAAUAUUACAAGAAAUAUGAAUCCUCCCUGUCUGGCAUGCAAAAAUCUUAGGAAACUUUAUUUAUUGCUUGCUUGCAUCUAUACAGUUGCUUUUGCUUCUCCAUUAGCGGAAAAAGUACCAAACUGCUUUCCCUGCCUGGGGCUGCCUUUAGGGUGUUUGCUGCACCUCUCUACAUGAGAAGUGAUGCAAAAUUCCUCUUCUCCUGCAAUGUCAGACUUGGGUAUUUGCAGGCGUAUUAUCUGCAUGUCUUACUGUUAGUAAAAAGCAGCGAGGCCUGUGAUCAUUUGGCCACUGUAGAAUUCAAACCUUUCCAUUUUCCCCGUAGUUCAUGCUUUAACGCUCCGUUGAUGGGCUGUGUGCGCUUCUGGAGCUGUCUGUGCAAUUCCUGUUGACUUUAAUAAAAACUAUAUGGAGUAACUGAGACAGAAGUAAUUUUAUGAUAUUAUUCUACUUUCUGCUCCAUAUUGCUGUAUUCUCUAGCAUCUGUUCAAUAAACUUCUUUUUCCCCACUGGAGAAUCUCUUCAAUCCACAGCGGACUGAUGACUGCAAGCCAACUAACU
This is a long non-coding RNA of Cuculus canorus (common cuckoo), 8869 nucleotides long. RefSeq lists it as uncharacterized. The transcript has 3 exons. The record is from RefSeq and is a predicted model, not a curated record. Lineage: Eukaryota; Metazoa; Chordata; Aves; Cuculiformes; Cuculidae.